AGUGAACGCUGGCGGUAGGCCUAACACAUGCAAGUCGAACGGCAGCACAGUAAGAGCUUGCUCUUACGGGUGGCGAGUGGCGGACGGGUGAGGAAUACAUCGGAAUCUACUUUUUCGUGGGGGAUAACGUAGGGAAACUUACGCUAAUACCGCAUACGACCUACGGGUGAAAGCAGGGGAUCUUCGGACCUUGCGCGAUUGAAUAAGCCGAUGUCGGAUUAGCUAGUUGGCGGGGUAAAGGCCCACCAAGGCGACGAUCCGUAGCUGGUCUGAGAGGAUGAUCGGCCACACUGGAACUGAGACACGGUCCAGACUCCUACGGGAGGCAGCAGUGGGGAAUAUUGGACAAUGGGCGCAAGCCUGAUCCAGCCAUACCGCGUGGGUGAAGAAGGCCUUCGGGUUGUAAGCCCUUUUGUUGGGAAAGAAAAGCAGCAGGUUAAUACCCCGCUGUUCUGACGGUACCCAAAGAAUAAGCACCGGCUAACUUCGUG
Molecule: ribosomal RNA, 491 nt
Filed under: uncultured bacterium
Lineage: Bacteria
Description: partial 16S ribosomal RNA
Rfam family: Bacterial small subunit ribosomal RNA
Source: RNAcentral